GACGAACGCUGGCGGCGUGCUUAACACAUGCAAGUCGAACGGUAAGGCCCUUCGGGGUACACGAGUGGCGAACGGGUGAGUAACACGUGGGUGAUCUGCUCUGCACUUCGGGAUAAGCCUGGGAAACUGGGCCUAAUACCGGAUAGGACUCCUGGCUUCAUGGUUGGGGGUGGAAAGCUUUUGCGGUGGGGGAUGGGCCCGCGGCCUAUCGGCUUGUUGGUGGGGGAAUGGCCGACCAAGGCGACGACGGGUAGCCGGCCUGAGAGGGUGACCGGUCACACUGGGACUGAGAUACGGCCCAGACUCCUACGGGAGGCAGCAGUGGGGAAUAUUGCACAAUGGGCGCAAGCCUGAUGCAGCGACGCCGCGUGAGGGAUGACGGCCUUCGGGUUGUAAACCUCUUUCAGCUAUGACGAAGCGCAAGUGACGGUAGUAGCAGAAGAAGGACCGGCCAACUACGUGCCAGCCGCCGCCGUAA
Molecule: ribosomal RNA, 478 nt
Filed under: uncultured bacterium
Lineage: Bacteria
Description: partial 16S ribosomal RNA
Rfam family: Bacterial small subunit ribosomal RNA
Source: RNAcentral